UAGCGCAUGCAGCAGCUCCGCCAGGCGACCUCUGAUCAGCGAGCAUCCACCAGAGAUUCCACGGUGAAGCAGCAGUGCCAGCAUGACCAGCAACUCCGGCCAACGAGCCACUGCGAAGCUCCAGCGCCGGCGAGCAACAACAACACCAGCGAACGCCAGCAUCUUUAGCGCCACCAGUCGCCUGUUUCUCCGGCGAAAACGACAAUCACUUUGCAUUAUUUGGAUUGCUUAAGACGGAUCUUAACUGAUCCAUCCCAGGAAACUGAGGAAGCUCAACAUCUAAAAAAGUUGAUACAAGACUAUAUUGCUUCUUUCAUCAAAGUAGGAGAUAAGGAAAAAGAAUUGGGACGCACUCCCAUUGAACCAGAGGUUUUCAAAAAGACUCAUGUCAGGAAGAAAGAAAAUGAGUUGGAUCCGAAUGUGUGGGUGGAGGAAAAGGCCGAACGAACUUUUAAUGACUUUCAUAAGUACGUCGCUGAGAAUCUAGAUAGUUCGGUUCAAUUGACACCUGAACUGUCCACUCAGAUUUGGAAAGAAAAAGUGAUAGGGGGGACACACAAG
Long non-coding RNA from Solanum stenotomum, 561 nucleotides. RefSeq lists it as uncharacterized. Lineage: Eukaryota; Viridiplantae; Streptophyta; Magnoliopsida; Solanales; Solanaceae. The record is from RefSeq and is a predicted model, not a curated record. The transcript has 4 exons.